RNAcentral lists this ribosomal RNA (243 nucleotides) under uncultured bacterium. Its description in RNAcentral is "partial 16S ribosomal RNA". It matches the Rfam family "Bacterial small subunit ribosomal RNA", at positions 91 to 334 of the family's 1533-position model. The record is from RNAcentral.
CGGACCGGCGCACGGUGAGUAACGCGUAUGCAACCUACCUAUCAGAGGGGAAUAACCCGGCGAAAGUCGGACUAAUACCGCAUAAAACAGGGGUUCCACAUGGAAAUAUUUGUUAAAGAAUUAUCGCUGAUAGAUGGGCAUGCGUUCCAUUAGAUAGUUGGUGAGGUAACGGCUCACCAAGUCCACGAUGGAUAGGGGUUCUGAGAGGAAGGUCCCCCACACUGGUACUGAGACACGGACCAG